This 253-nucleotide ribosomal RNA is filed under the name uncultured bacterium. Its description in RNAcentral is "partial 16S ribosomal RNA". It matches the Rfam family "Bacterial small subunit ribosomal RNA", at positions 524 to 776 of the family's 1533-position model. The record is from RNAcentral.
CACGUAGGGCGCAAGCGUUGUCCGGAAUUAUUGGGCGUAAAGAGCUCGUAGGCGGUCUGUUGCGUCUGCUGUGAAAACCCGGGGCUUAACCCCUGGCUUGCAGUGGAUACGGACAGACUAGAGGUAGGUAGGGGAGAAUGGAAUUCCCGGUGUAGCGGUGAAAUGCGCAGAUAUCGGGAGGAACACCGGUGGCGAAGGCGGUUCUCCGGGCCUUACCUGACGCUGAGGAGCGAAAGCGUGGGGAGCGAACAGG